GUGGGGAAUCUUCCGCAAUGGACGAAAGUCUGACGGAGCAACGCCGCGUGAGUGAUGAAGGUCUUCGGAUUGUAAAGCUCUGUUAAUCGGGACGAAAGAGCCUAGUGUGAAUAAUGCUAGGAAGUGACGGUACCGGAAUAGAAAGCCACGGCUAACUACGUGCCAGCAGCCGCGGUAAUACGUAGGUGGCAAGCGUUGUCCGGAAUUAUUGGGCGUAAAGCGCGCGCAGGCGGAUCUGACAGUCUGUCUUAAAAGUUCGGGGCUUAACCCCGUGAUGGGAUGGAAACUACAGAUCUAGAGUAUCGGAGAGGAAAGUGGAAUUCCUAGUGUAGCGGUGAAAUGCGUAGAUAUUAGGAAGAACACCAGUGGCGAAGGCGACUUUCUGGACGAAAACGGACGCUGAGGCGCGAAAGCCAGGGGAGCGAACGGGAUUAGAAACCCGUGUAGUCC
This 450-nucleotide ribosomal RNA is filed under the name uncultured bacterium. Its description in RNAcentral is "partial 16S ribosomal RNA". It matches the Rfam family "Bacterial small subunit ribosomal RNA", at positions 354 to 796 of the family's 1533-position model. The record is from RNAcentral.